GAUGAACGCUGGCGGCGUGCCUAAUACAUGCAAGUCGAGCGAACAGACGAGGAGCUUGCUCCUCUGACGUUAGCGGCGGACGGGUGAGUAACACGUGGAUAACCUACCUAUAAGACUGGGAUAACUUCGGGAAACCGGAGCUAAUACCGGACAAUAUAUUGAACCGCAUGGUUCAAUAGUGAAAGACGGUUUUGCUGUCACUUAUAGAUGGAUCCGCGCCGCAUUAGCUAGUUGGUAAGGUAACGGCUUACCAAGGCAACGAUGCGUAGCCGACCUGAGAGAGUGAUCGGCCACACUGGAACUGAGACACGGUCCAGACUCCUACGGGAGGCAGCAGUAGGGAAUCUUCCGCAAUGGGCGAAAGCCUGACGGAGCAACGCCGCGUGAGUGAUGAAGGUCUUCGGAUCGUAAAACUCUGUUAUUAGGGAAGAACAAAUGUGUAAGUAACUAUGCACGUCUUGACGGUACCUAAUCAGAAAGCCACGGCUAACUACGUG
This 497-nucleotide ribosomal RNA is filed under the name uncultured bacterium. RNAcentral's name for it is "partial 16S ribosomal RNA". It matches the Rfam family "Bacterial small subunit ribosomal RNA", at positions 28 to 507 of the family's 1533-position model. The record is from RNAcentral.